RNAcentral lists this transfer RNA (66 nucleotides) under Glossodoris acosti. RNAcentral describes it as "tRNA-Thr". It matches the Rfam family "tRNA". From Rfam's summary of the family: Transfer RNA (tRNA) molecules are approximately 80 nucleotides in length. Their secondary structure includes four short double-helical elements and three loops (D, anti-codon, and T loops). Lineage: Eukaryota; Metazoa; Mollusca; Gastropoda; Nudibranchia; Chromodorididae. The record is from RNAcentral.
UCUAGAAUAGCUUAAAUUUUAAAGCACUGACUUUGUAACUCAGAGAUAAAAAAAAUUUUUCUAGAU